This 1644-nucleotide ribosomal RNA is filed under the name Salmonella enterica subsp. enterica serovar Kentucky. Its description in RNAcentral is "bacterial LSU rRNA". It matches the Rfam family "Bacterial large subunit ribosomal RNA", at positions 1252 to 2874 of the family's 2925-position model. The record is from RNAcentral. Lineage: Bacteria; Pseudomonadati; Pseudomonadota; Gammaproteobacteria; Enterobacterales; Enterobacteriaceae.
GAAGGUGGCCUGUGAGGGUUGCUGGAGGUAUCAGAAGUGCGAAUGCUGACAUAAGUAACGAUAAAGCGGGUGAAAAGCCCGCUCGCCGGAAGACCAAGGGUUCCUGUCCAACGUUAAUCGGGGCAGGGUGAGUCGACCCCUAAGGCGAGGCCGAAAGGCGUAGUCGAUGGGAAACGGGUUAAUAUUCCCGUACUUGGUGUUACUGCGAAGGGGGGACGGAGAAGGCUAUGUUGGCCGGGCGACGGUUGUCCCGGUUUAAGCGUGUAGGUGUGUGUUCCAGGUAAAUCCGGUUCACUUUAACACUGAGGCGUGAUGACGAGGCACUACGGUGCUGAAGCAACAAAUGCCCUGCUUCCAGGAAAAGCCUCUAAGCAUCAGGUAACAUCAAAUCGUACCCCAAACCGACACAGGUGGUCAGGUAGAGAAUACCAAGGCGCUUGAGAGAACUCGGGUGAAGGAACUAGGCAAAAUGGUGCCGUAACUUCGGGAGAAGGCACGCUGACACGUAGGUGAAGUGAUUUACUCACGGAGCUGAAGUCAGUCGAAGAUACCAGCUGGCUGCAACUGUUUAUUAAAAACACAGCACUGUGCAAACACGAAAGUGGACGUAUACGGUGUGACGCCUGCCCGGUGCCGGAAGGUUAAUUGAUGGGGUCAGCGCAAGCGAAGCUCCUGAUCGAAGCCCCGGUAAACGGCGGCCGUAACUAUAACGGUCCUAAGGUAGCGAAAUUCCUUGUCGGGUAAGUUCCGACCUGCACGAAUGGCGUAAUGAUGGCCAGGCUGUCUCCACCCGAGACUCAGUGAAAUUGAACUCGCUGUGAAGAUGCAGUGUACCCGCGGCAAGACGGAAAGACCCCGUGAACCUUUACUAUAGCUUGACACUGAACAUUGAGCCUUGAUGUGUAGGAUAGGUGGGAGGCUUUGAAGUGUGGACGCCAGUCUGCAUGGAGCCGACCUUGAAAUACCACCCUUUAAUGUUUGAUGUUCUAACGUGGACCCGUAAUCCGGGUUGCGGACAGUGUCUGGUGGGUAGUUUGACUGGGGCGGUCUCCUCCUAAAGAGUAACGGAGGAGCACGAAGGUUGGCUAAUCCUGGUCGGACAUCAGGAGGUUAGUGCAAUGGCAUAAGCCAGCUUGACUGCGAGCGUGACGGCGCGAGCAGGUGCGAAAGCAGGUCAUAGUGAUCCGGUGGUUCUGAAUGGAAGGGCCAUCGCUCAACGGAUAAAAGGUACUCCGGGGAUAACAGGCUGAUACCGCCCAAGAGUUCAUAUCGACGGCGGUGUUUGGCACCUCGAUGUCGGCUCAUCACAUCCUGGGGCUGAAGUAGGUCCCAAGGGUAUGGCUGUUCGCCAUUUAAAGUGGUACGCGAGCUGGGUUUAGAACGUCGUGAGACAGUUCGGUCCCUAUCUGCCGUGGGCGCUGGAGAACUGAGGGGGGCUGCUCCUAGUACGAGAGGACCGGAGUGGACGCAUCACUGGUGUUCGGGUUGUCAUGCCAAUGGCACUGCCCGGUAGCUAAAUGCGGAAGAGAUAAGUGCUGAAAGCAUCUAAGCACGAAACUUGCCCCGAGAUGAGUUCUCCCUGAGACUUUAAGUCUCCUGAAGGAACGUUGAAGACGACGACGUUGAUAGGCCGGGUGUGUAAGC